CGCUGGCGGCGCGCCUAACACAUGCAAGUCNAGCGAGAACCGGAGCUUCGGCUCCGGGGACAGCGGCGAACGGGUGAGUAACACGUGGAUAACCUGCCCUCGGCACCGGAAUAGCCCGGGGAAACCCGGAUUAAUGCCGGAUGGCCCCACAUCCCUGCGGGGAACGUGGGAAAAGGUAGCUUCGGCCUCUGGCCGAGGAUGGGUCCGCGGUGGAUUAGCUUGUUGGUGGGGUAAUGGCCCACCAAGGCGACGAUCCAUAGCUGGUCUGAGAGGACGAUCAGCCACACUGGGUCUGAGACACGGCCCAGACUCCUACGGGAGGCAGCAGUGGGGAAUCUUGCGCAAUGGGCGAAAGCCUGACGCAGCGACGCCGCGUGCGGGAAGAAGGCCUUAGGGUUGUAAACCGCUUUCAGGAGGGACGAAGCCACUCGGGUGAAUAGCCCAGAGGGUGACGGUACCUCCAGAAGAAGCCCCGGCUAACUACGUGCCAGCAGCCGCGGUAAUACGUAGGGGGCAAGCGUUGUCCGGAUUCAUUGGGCGUAAAGAGCGUGUAGGCGGCCAGGUAGGUCGGUUGUGAAAACUGGAGGCUCAACCUUCAGAGGUCGA
RNAcentral lists this ribosomal RNA (606 nucleotides) under uncultured soil bacterium. RNAcentral's name for it is "bacterial SSU rRNA". It matches the Rfam family "Bacterial small subunit ribosomal RNA", at positions 34 to 626 of the family's 1533-position model. The record is from RNAcentral.